This 1658-nucleotide long non-coding RNA is filed under the name Sus scrofa (pig). Its description in RNAcentral is "lncRNA (ENSSSCG00025043879.1)". Lineage: Eukaryota; Metazoa; Chordata; Mammalia; Artiodactyla; Suidae. The record is from RNAcentral.
AAAAUACCAUCUGGGAGUUCCCGUCAUGGUGCAGGGGUUAACGAAUCCGACUAGGAACCAUGAGGUUGCGGCAGGCAUUCUUAAUAGUCUGAGAAUUAGAAUUAAACCUCAUGUUUGCUGUUUUUAUCAAAGAGAAAAUGUUCUUCCUUCAUUUGUUGAUUCUUCUUUGGUAGGUUUCAGGUUGGGGAAGAGUCAUCAAAGUUUUAAUUCAUCAUUUUGUUGUUGUUGUGAGUUUCCAACAAAACUCACUGGCAUUUACAAAGAUCAUUUUAACUCUGUAGUGAAGGACGAGGGGAGAAUAUUGGAAGAGAAUAGAUAAGAGAUCAAGAGGAAGACAGAAAGGCCUGGGGUUGGGCUGUACCAGGUCAAUUCAGAUGGCCAAUAGAGGCUGGAAAGGAAGAAAUUUGGAAAUGAGUGAAGUGCCAGGCAAACACACAUGCUAUGAGCUAUUCCUAGACAGGAAAAGUUUACCUCAUUCAUCUUUGUAUUUCAAGAGCCUAGUGCUGGUCUGCAUUCAUUUGGCAUUUAAUGCUUGUUGAACAGACCUGCAUUAGUUGGGAUGAGAAAGAACUGAGAAUGACAGAUGUAGUGCAAGCCUCUCAAAAGAGAGGUUGAUAAUAAGGUGAGAAACUCUACUAAGAAGUAGAGAUGAAAAAGUGCUUUGCUAAGUAGUUGAUGUACAUAGGACCCAAAAGGUAAUUUCAGCAUAAAUAGCAGGAUUUAGUCAGAACCCAUCUCAAAUUAACAUAAUUCAUCAAAAUUUUAUAUCUAUAAAAUAAAUCUGAGAUUUUAAGAAUGGAUAAUUUCCUGUAAAAAAUCCCUAACUCCAGAGUUAUCGUCUGUAAGAUAUUUUUCUUAAAAUUUGUAAAAAUAAAUAUGAAUAAAUGUAAGAAAAAUUUAUUUACAGAAUAUUGAUUACUAUAAAAGAUUACUGCUAAACUAUUUCCCCUCUUUUGAAGAGCCCUGAUAAUAAAAGCAGGAAACUGAUACACAUCUUAUGUAGAUUUUAUGUGAGUACAUUUCUUGUGAACCAUUGAUUCACAUCCCUUUCUGAGCCACCCCGUCCCCCAAACACUGGCACAUGGCAACCUCUGGAACUGUAGUUUUGUCUUUUCUAGAAUUUCACGUAAAUUCUAGUCUUUGGGUUUGGUUCCUUUCCCUUUGAGUCAUGCCUUUGAAAUUCCUGCCUGUUGUGUUUAUCUGUGUUGUGUGUCUCUCUUCAUCUGUUAUUUCUUCUUGUACACAUACCAUGAUUGUGGAUCCUAGAUUUUGUUUGAUAAAAGAUAAUAUCUUCAAAUAAUUUAUUUCUUCCUGAUAUUCAUGCUUUUAACAUCUAUAUAUCUCUUCUGACUGUGAUUAGAGGGCAUUCCUGACUUGUUUUUAAAUUCUGGGAAAUAGUAUUUUCAGUAGGUUUUUGGUAAGUGCUAUUUUGGAGGUGAAAGAGAUUACUCCUAGCCCUAGAGUGCACAGCUUUUCUUUUUUAUAAAUAAAUACUAAAUUUUAUCAAAUAUUUUUCUAUGCCUAUUGAGAACAUCACAUGAAUUUUAGCUUUAGUUUCUUCAUAGAAGAUCAUUUACUGAUAUUUAUUAUUAAGCUAUCCUUAACAUUUCUGGGAUAAGUAUAAUUAGGUUAUGAUGAUGCUUUUUGUACUGUUGUUU